RNAcentral lists this ribosomal RNA (301 nucleotides) under uncultured bacterium. Its description in RNAcentral is "partial 16S ribosomal RNA". It matches the Rfam family "Bacterial small subunit ribosomal RNA", at positions 509 to 809 of the family's 1533-position model. The record is from RNAcentral.
CAGUAGCCGCGGGAAUACAGAGGGUGCAAGCGUUAAUCGGAAUUACUGGGCGUAAAGCGCGCGUAGGUGGCUUGUUAAGUUGGAUGUGAAAGCCCCGGGCUCAACCUGGGAACUGCAUCCAAAACUGGCAAGCUAGAGUACGGUAGAGGGUGGUGGAAUUUCCUGUGUAGCGGUGAAAUGCGUAGAUAUAGGAAGGAACACCAGUGGCGAAGGCGACCACCUGGACUGAUACUGACACUGAGGUGCGAAAGCGUGGGGAGCAAACAGGAUUAGAUACCCGCGUAGUCCCUGUCUCUUAUAA